UUAAUUGAAACCAAAUAGAGGUACUUCACUGUUAAUGAUGUCAAUGGAUUUCACACCCAAUUAAA
RNAcentral lists this transfer RNA (65 nucleotides) under Euwallacea similis. RNAcentral's name for it is "tRNA-Asn". The record is from RNAcentral. Lineage: Eukaryota; Metazoa; Arthropoda; Insecta; Coleoptera; Curculionidae.